This 771-nucleotide ribosomal RNA is filed under the name uncultured marine microorganism. RNAcentral describes it as "bacterial SSU rRNA". It matches the Rfam family "Bacterial small subunit ribosomal RNA", at positions 731 to 1501 of the family's 1533-position model. The record is from RNAcentral.
GGNCCAUUACUGACGCUCAUGGACGAAAGCCAGGGGAGCGAAAGGGAUUAGAUACCCCUGUAGUCCUGGCCGUAAACGAUGAACACUAGGUGUCGGGGGAAUCGACCCCUUCGGUGUCGUAGCUAACGCGUUAAGUGUUCCGCCUGGGGAGUACGCACGCAAGUGUGAAACUCAAGGGAAUUGACGGGGGCCCGCACAAGCGGUGGAGUAUGUGGUUUAAUUCGAUGCAACGCGAAGAACCUUACCAGGGUUUGACAUCCUGCGAACCUCUUAGAAAUUUGAGGGUGCCUUCGGGAAUGCAGUGACAGGUGGUGCAUGGCUGUCGUCAGCUCGUGUCGUGAGAUGUUGGGUUAAGUCCCGCAACGAGCGCAACCCACGUUUUUAGUUGCCAGCAUUUAGUUGGGCACUCUAGAAAGACCGCCGGUGAUAAACCGGAGGAAGGUGUGGAUGACGUCAAGUCAUCAUGCCCCUUACACCCUGGGCUACACACGUACUACAAUGCUACGGACAAAGGGCAGCAAACUCGCGAGAGCUAGCAAAUCCCAUAAACCGUGGCUCAGUUCAGAUCGUAGGCUGCAACUCGCCUACGUGAAGUAGGAAUCGCUAGUAAUCGCAGGUCAGCAUACUGCGGUGAAUACGUUCCCGGGCCUUGUACACACCGCCCGUCACACCAUGGAAGUUGGCCAUGCCCGAAGUCGUUACUCCAACCCUUGUGGAGGAGGACGCCGAAGGUGGGGCUAAUGACUGGGGUGAAGUCGUAACAAGGUAGCC